ACACCAAAAAAGUCUGCACAGAAACCAUGUUUUUUAAGGGAAUGCCCUGUAUAGUCCGUGAGUGGGAUGUGGGCUCGUGCUCCCAAACCUGGGUGGAUGGAGCCCUCUGUGACCCAUCACUGCGGAGGGUGUCAGCCUGAGGAGGAGGAAGAGGGGAGUGGACAGGCUCUGGGCCCCAGGCCCGCUGCCCACCGUGGGACACAGUGCUUCCCUGCUCUCAGGAGAGGGGAAAGUGUGCUGCUCACUCACACAACACAUUCACCUUGGAAGGGGCCACUGAACAUCUAGCUUCCCAGGCCUGGUUCAUGUAAGGCAAAGUCGUGCGUCAGGGCAGAAAUGCUCCUGACUUCCUCUUCAUGGCCUCUUGAUUCUAUGGACGCGAAUCACAGCAAGAGCCAUUAUGCGCUGAUUCUGAUGUGCAGAGUUCCGCGCUGAGCAGGGCUAUGCCCAUUGCACAGACUGGAAAGCCGAGGAGACUUCAAGGGCCACGAGCCCUUCACCCAGCAGCCGCAGAGUGUGACUCGGGGCUCCCAGGCGUGAGUGUUCCAGUGAGCAGCAGCAGCUGUGGCCUCUGUCAGGUGGGAGGGGACAGGUACCAUUCACUGGUACUCAUUCUACUGAUUAGGAGACAGCAAGAAGGCAGCAAAUUAGCCCCUCCAAGGUCAAGGCAACGCACAAACCCCACCUACCCGCUGAGCCCACAGUUUGUCUUAUCACAAUGGGUUUCAAGCAGGAAGGUCGCCCUUCCUGAGGACAGCAUAGCCAGCUUCAUGGGCAUUUGA
This 782-nucleotide long non-coding RNA is filed under the name Callithrix jacchus (white-tufted-ear marmoset). Its description in RNAcentral is "lncRNA (ENSCJAG00000082099.1)". Lineage: Eukaryota; Metazoa; Chordata; Mammalia; Primates; Cebidae. The record is from RNAcentral.